AGUGAACGCUGGCGGUAGGCCUAACACAUGCAAGUCGAACGGCAGCACAGUAAGAGCUUGCUCUUACGGGUGGCGAGUGGCGGACGGGUGAGGAAUACAUCGGAAUCUACUUUUUCGUGGGGGAUAACGUAGGGAAACUUACGCUAAUACCGCAUACGACCUACGGGUGAAAGCAGGGGAUCUUCGGACCUUGCGCGAUUGAAUGAGCCGAUGUCGGAUUAGCUAGUUGGCGGGGUAAAGGCCCACCAAGGCGACGAUCCGUAGCUGGUCUGAGAGGAUGAUUCGGCAACACUGAACCUAGAACCGGUCCCAGCCCCCAAGGGAGGCAGCAGUGGGGAAUAUUGGACAAUGGGCGCAAGCCUGAUCCAGCCAUACCGCGUGGGUGAAGAAGGCCUUCGGGUUGUAAAGCCCUUUUGUUGGGAAAGAAAAGCAGCAGGUUAAUACCCCGCUGUUCUGACGGUACCCAAAGAAUAAGCACCGGCUAACUUCGUG
Molecule: ribosomal RNA, 492 nt
Filed under: uncultured bacterium
Lineage: Bacteria
Description: partial 16S ribosomal RNA
Rfam family: Bacterial small subunit ribosomal RNA
Source: RNAcentral